AAGUAGAAGUCGUAACAAGGUCUCCGUUGGUGAACCAGCGGAGGGAUCAUUACAGAGUUAUCCAACUCCCAAACCCAUGUGAACUUAUCUCUUUGUUGCCUCGGCGCAAGCUACCCGGGACCUCGUGCCCCGGGCGGCCCGCCGGCGGACAAACCAAACUCCGUUAUCUUAGUUGAUUAUCUGAGUGUCUUAUUUAAUAAGUCAAAACUUUCAACAACGGAUCUCUUGGUUCUGGCAUCGAUGAAGAACGCAGCGAAAUGCGAUAAGUAAUGUGAAUUGCAGAAUUCAGUGAAUCAUCGAAUCUUUGAACGCACAUUGCGCCCAUUAGUAUUCUAGUGGGCAUGCCUGUUCGAGCGUCAUUUCAACCCCUAAGCACAGCUUAUUGUUGGGAAUCCACGCCUGUGGUUCCUCAAAGACAUUGGCGGAGUGGCAGUAGUCCUCUGAGCGUAGUAAUUCUUUAUCUCGCUUUUGUUAGGUGCUGCCCCCCCGGCCGUAAAACCCCCAAUUUUUUCUGGUUGACCUCGGAUCAGGUAGGAAUACCCGCUGAACUUAAGCAUAUCAAUAAGCGGAGG
This 572-nucleotide ribosomal RNA is filed under the name fungal sp. RNAcentral describes it as "eukaryotic LSU rRNA". The stretch from base 206 to 359 matches the Rfam family "5.8S ribosomal RNA". Lineage: Eukaryota; Fungi. The record is from RNAcentral.